Ostrea edulis (European flat oyster) is the source of this 1456-nucleotide long non-coding RNA. RefSeq lists it as uncharacterized. NCBI's taxonomy places the organism in Eukaryota, Metazoa, Mollusca, Bivalvia, Ostreida, Ostreidae. The record is from RefSeq and is a predicted model, not a curated record. The transcript has 2 exons.
CCCAUGUUAGGGGGUGUGUUGCAUGGCCCAUGCCCCAAAUGCCUAUUUAUAUAUUAGAAUAUUCCUAUUUCAAUCCCACCACGUGCGACUUCCUUUGAAAUAUUGAACCCGAAGCGUACUAUUUAGAAUAAGCUAUACAUUUUCUUCACAAUACAACUACCCUGUUCUCUACCGUACUAAGGCCUGUUGCGACUCGGGACCUCUGUUCAUGAGGUCAUAUCCGAACUAUCAGUAUUUCUCUAUUUGAAAUGCCAAUUGUUGGCAAAGGUGAAAUCACCGUCUUUGUUUACGUGAAAGGUGAAGAUAACGAACAGUGAUCAUAACUCCUAUAGUUUUAGAUUUGAAGUGGACAUUGCAUGAGUGGGGGCUCGAACUCAUAGCAUCCUGGUUACAAAACAAAUGAUCUACCACUGAGCUGCCGAAACCGGUCCUGAAUAUCAAAUAAAUAGCUACAAUCUACUUUCUUAUUAUGAAUGGGUUAUUUGAACCAUUGUCAUAUGCAUGUUAUAACGCAUAAUCUAUAAUUGAUCUUUGAUCAUUGGUUUUUAUUUCGUCUCUUCAAGAAUUUUGCAUAUCGAGACGUCAAGAGCUAAAGGUGAAGUUUAACAAAUAUAGACCUCUCCAUGACUCUCAUUGCAGUGAUAGUUCUUUUUUGUGCUGAUCCCUGCUUUGAAACAGUAUUUCGAUUUCUAAGAUAUUUUCCUAAAUACACAUGCUUCUCACAUCUGUAUGCUGAGGGUUUUCCGUAGGAGCAACCGCUACCUAAUUACGUCUUACGUUUGACACCAUGUAAGGCUUAAAAUAAUGACCUGCUGUCAGGAAACUAAUGGGUUAGAAAUUGAUUGAUUUGAUUGCUUUACGUCUUGUCGGGAAUUUUCCACUCAGAUUGAAACGUCACCAGCUGUAGGUGAAGUACCAUAUAUUUAGACCUAUAUUUAGCGCUCAUGGUUGUAGCAGUGAGGGAUCCCUAUUGUGCCAACGCUUGGCGCGACACGGGAUAUCCGUUUUAAGGUCAUAUUCAAAAGACACUUGAUUCUCACUUCUAGAUGCCGGGCGUUUGGCUAUGAAGCAAUCACUACCUAUUUUAACAAGUUAUGUUUGUCACAAUUAAUGUAUAUAUUUCCCGAUUAUAGCUCCAUAGAUGUUAGGAUCUUUCUCAAGUUAAAUAAUUAAAUACCUCAAUGUGUUUCCAUAGUAUGCGAAUCGUUCACCAGCUAUGCUUGUACAUUUAAAUCCCGUGCAGUUAGUUUGGGUGUAGCAAUUGCCGGGUGCGGACGUGUUUAUUCGCAUUGAUAUUCAUGUAUUUUAUCUAGUAAUAGUCAUCAAGUUUUGAUACCUUGUGACCAGAGUCCACUACUUCUGAGAUCCCUUCUUCAUUUGACUCCUAUUUGAAAAACGGUAAAGGAUGAACAUUUGUGUAUAGCUUGAGUGUAUUAAAACAGUAUAAACCUUAAAA